Molecule: non-coding RNA, 1202 nt
Organism: Drosophila melanogaster (fruit fly)
Lineage: Eukaryota; Metazoa; Arthropoda; Insecta; Diptera; Drosophilidae
Source: Ensembl
UACGGGGAAGAGUAAAUUUCCGGACAGAGCACCAAAGCGUCCACACAUCAUGGCAAUGGCAACAACAACGGUUCUGCAAAUGUUAACCUUUCAUUUAAUACGAUUUCGAUGUCAUUAAUGGAAAACCUACCUCAAUUGUGUGGGAAACAGGGCCACCACAGCACCCAAAAGUGAAGAGACAGCAAUUCCCGUAAUCGUAAGAAAAGUCGCAGACACAAUGAGUGUCAUUAGACUGCUCACGGAAAAGUAGAGCAUCAGGCCAAAGGUUCCCGACAGAAACAAUCCGUAAGCUGGAAAGUACGUUAUAUGAAGUUAUAUCACCAAAGAGAUAUACAAUUUCGGGAGCAACUUACUCAUCAUGCGUUUUGGACCCAGAGCCCGCAAGAUUCCACCGGCAAAGAAGUAGCCCACAAAGCCCGUGGCCGAAACAAUAAUGUUAUUCAGAUACAUGCGUCGGCGUAAUUCAGAGCUGUCUCAGCCGUCUGAUUGACGCUGAACUCGAGGAUGGUGCACAUGCUGACAUCCAAUCCGUCCCCGGCGUGCAGGGCCUCGUACUCCGCCAUGGAGGCGAAGAGCUGCGGCAGCCACAGACGGAUGGUGUUCAUGCCCAGGAAGAUGCCGAACUGCAUCACGUAGCAGCAAAUGGCCAAACCCAGCAGGGGCUUCCUGACCAGCGGCUUCAUCUGCUGCAGCCCGGCUCGGAGGCUCUCAGCCAGGGUACGAGACUGUCGCUUGGUUGGCACCUCUCCGGAUUUCUCCUCGAUUGUGUAGAUAACCUCGUUCUGGGCGGCCUUACGAUUGGGCACUUCCUGAAUGAGAGCUUUUAUCUCUAUCCUUGGGCUUGCGAGUGUUGACAUGGUAGAUCUGCUUAAAGGCUUGGAGCGCCUCCUCGUUCCGUCCUUGGGCCAUUAAAAAUCGCGGACUUUCCGGCAUGCUGCAGAAAAUCAAACCGCUGAUCAAACUUGGAAUGCCCAGCACGAACAGGAAAAUUUGCCAACUGUGGACUGAGUUAAAAUACAUUAAAUUAGAAUAAUCUAACAUUUCAAUAAGUAUGACGGCAACGUACCUUGCAAGCCCCAGAACUCAAAGUCCCAAUCUCUGGGAAAAAUUCCCCAGGCCAAAAGAGGUAGCGAAACCGUCGCCGUAGAGGUGACCAUGCCCACGAUCAUCAGAACAGAGGAUCGGUGCUUGGGUCCGUGCAU